RNAcentral lists this ribosomal RNA (468 nucleotides) under uncultured bacterium. Its description in RNAcentral is "partial 16S ribosomal RNA". It matches the Rfam family "Bacterial small subunit ribosomal RNA", at positions 28 to 507 of the family's 1533-position model. The record is from RNAcentral.
GACGAACGCUGGCGGCGUGCUUAACACAUGCAAGUCGAACGGAAAGGCCCUGAUUUUGUGGGGUGCUCGAGUGGCGAACGGGUGAGUAACACGUGAGUAACCUGCCCUUGAUUUUGGGAUAACUUCAGGAAACUGGGGCUAAUACAGGAUAGGAGCCCCCGUUGCAUGGUGGGGGUUGGAAAGUCUCGGCGGUCGGGGAUGGACGCGCGGCUUAUCAGCUUGUUGGUGGGGUAGUGGCUUACCGAGGCUUUGAAGGGUAGCCGGCCUGGGAGGGUGACCGGGCUCAUUGGGACUGAGAUAGGGACCAGACUCCUACGGGGGGCAGCAGUGGGGAAUAUGACACAAUGGGCGGAAGCCUGAGGCAGCAACGCCGCGGUCGGGAUGACGGCCUUCGGGUUGUAAACCGCUUUCGCCUGUGACGAAGCGGUAGUGACGGUAAUGGGUAAAGAAGCACCGGCUAACUACGUG